This 5588-nucleotide long non-coding RNA is filed under the name Trifolium pratense (red clover). Its description in RNAcentral is "long non-coding RNA (TPRA_LNC001677)". The record is from RNAcentral. Lineage: Eukaryota; Viridiplantae; Streptophyta; Magnoliopsida; Fabales; Fabaceae.
GAUUAUCCCAACUAUUAGAAUCUCUUCCAAUUCCCCAACUAUUGACAAAAAUUAAAGUCCCUUUUGGGAUAUCAUAACCAUCAACAUUGCAAUCUUCUCUAGCUUCUCUUGGCACUAACAAUGGUGCCACUGGAUGUAGCCUCAUUGUUUCUUUAGCAAUUGCAUACAAAUAAGGUAAAUUCACAAAGUCAUUCUCUUCAACCCAUCUAUCUUUUCCUAUUACUCUGUCUAGUUCUUCUGUUGCUUUCUUGAAUAUCUCUGGAUUUUUCAUUAGUUCAGACAUUGCCCAUUCUACUGUUACUGUUGAGCUCUCUGUUCCACCUGCUAUUAGGUCCUGAGGAAUAGAUAUAUAAUAGAUAAGUAGAUUAAAAUAAAGUUAAAUCUAUAAAUAUGGUAUUAAGAGGGUCUUUGUUAUAGCUUAUUUUAAAUAAAAAUCAUUUUUUUUAUAAAAAUAAUUAUUUUUAAUUAUUUUGCAUCUGUUUGUUACAGAUUUUUAAAAUAAUCAGAAGCUAAAAAUAAUCAGAAAACAGCUAAAAAUGAGAAGCUAUUAAGGAAAGGUUUAGAUCAAGAUUUAAUAUUCUUUCUCCGUACGAAAUAAGGGAACAAAUGAAAUUUACCGUUUAAAAAAGUGAAUAUUUUUGUUUAUUAUUAUAAAAAGGACAGGAAAAACUAUUAAGCAAAACUUUGUUGCUUCACACAUGUUAAAGAAAAAUUAUAUUUACUUAUUUUGGUGUAACUUGAUUGCCCCCCUUACUAAAAUAUCAUUUACUAUAAGUAAAUAAUUACAUUAAAUUUAUAUUUGGACUAUGCACUGACGAUCUUAGAAAAUAGGAAAAUUAAAAUGGGAUAUUUUUGAAACAAUGAUAUAUUAAAUAAAAUUAGAUUUUUAGAUUUGAUAACUUUUACUUAAUAUUAUUGAUAUUUUGAAACAAUAAUAUUAUUAAAUAAAAUUAAAGUUGAUAGGAAUAUCGUAUUGCAUAUGUAGGAAUCGAGUUUGAAUCCAGAUUAUUUUCUUAUUCAUUUCAAGCAUUAAAUUUCUUCCAUUAAAUUAUUUAUUAAAAAGAAAAAACAGAGGUUAAGUUUUUUAUGAUGACAUAAGGGGAUAUAUUUUAAGUUUACUAAAAAGUCAUUGUUAAUGAAUAUUAUUCCUUCUUCAUAUCAUGUUGAAUCCGUCAAGGAUAGCCUAUAAUUUCUCUGUACAGAGAAGUAUUUUCUACAUGUUAAUUCGUUGGUAAAAAAAUAAAUUGAAUCCCACAAAUUAGAAAAAUGUUAUUUCAACAUCAAUUUUUAGACAAAAAUAUGACAAACCUAAAUAUGCAUACCACUUUUUAAUUUUUUAAUACUUUUUGUAUUCAUCGAAAAUUGUGCAUAAAGACAAGGAAAAUACAGAUGUCGUAUUUUUGUUGAUAUGGUCUUGUUAACAUGACACAUGUUAAGAUAUACCAAAAUAGAAAUUCAACAUUUAAUAAUACAAGAAAUUUAAUGCUUCAAAAGUCAAAAUGCACAAAUUAGCAUUUAAUAAUUUCUAUUUUUAUUUUCUUAACAUUUACCUUAAAGACACGAGUUAACAUUCUCCUUAUCGAUAAAAUGAUAUUUAUAUAACAUAGCUCCACAAAUUAUAUGGAUGAAACUAAGAAGUAUGACUUUUCAACUUGUCAUCAUUUGAGUCAAUAAAUAUUGUCAUUUCUAUGAAGAUGCGCAUAUCACUUUAGACAAACAAAAAAAAGGGUCCGUAAAAAAAACAAAAAAAGAAGGUAAUUUUUUACUAUAAAAAAAAAAAGUAAUAUUAAUUUUUUUUUCUAAUAAAAAUGUUAAGUGAGGAAACGAUAAUUUAGUGUACGGUAGAAAAAUUUUAAAGCUCAAAGAAUAUAUACAAAAUUUUCUACAUUUAACUUUAUUAAGGAAGUCGCACGUUUUUUAAUAGUAUUCCUCGUUGUAUUGAACCUAUUAUUAUGAAUGAAAUGUGUUAAUUGUGUUUCUAUCAAAAAAAAAAAACUAUCAAGGACAAAAGGGGACCUGUCAGAUGUAGGGAUGUUCAAGGAUCAAGUUUGCCCGAUUUCAGACAAAUCUAUUUUUCGAUACAAUCAAACUUAAUUUGUUUGAGUUAGAUGUAAAAUUAUUUUUUUUAUGGGUCAAUGAGUCAAUAAAUAUAGCUUUUCAAAUAAUUUCCAAAAAAAAAAAAUUAGUUAAAUGACAUUCUAUCUCAUGAAACUUUUUGAAAUUUAGACUAAAUUUUACUAUAUAAACACUUAAAUUUACAUGAUAUACUUCAACUUUCAAGUAUAGUAUAAAAAACCACGUAAAAAUCUUAAACUGUAUUUUCAAAACCAAUACAUAUUACUUUACCACUAGAUAAAACCUUUCGAGUUAAAAAAAAAAAAUCUUAUAAAAAAAAUAAAAUUGUAUAAGUUAAAAAACCUUUAGCGUUAAAGUAAUAAUACCAUGGGUCAUAAACAUUAUUACCCAAAAAACUAAUAAAGACCAUCAAAAUGUUCUAUCCCUAACUUCUACGCAUGCAUGGAUAGUUAGAAGAAGAGAACUCACCUUGUAUGUCCCACAAAUUAUCCGAUAUAGACUAGUCAUCAUUAUACGGUGGUGAAAACUUUGUACUUAUAUCGUAUAAAAAUCCAAUGGUUUUUCAUUUACAACAAGAUCAAACAGUUAAAAUUAAAAAAUUAUUGAAAUCUAUGGUGGACCACAUACAAUGUCAGUCCAUCUUAUAUAUAUUUGUGUUUUUUUUAUAGAAUAUAUAUUUGGUGUUAAAAAUUUAUGGAAAUAACAUUUUUGACUAAGAGAUAAACUUAAAGCAGUUAAAAUAGAACAUUUAUUAUUUAAGAAAUCAAAACAAAACUUAAAAAUUAAUUAAGAAACCAAAAGUAUAAUUAAGCAAAAGAAAGAAAAAAAAUAUUUACCUGAGUAAAGCCUUUGACUCCAGGCCUCUCAAGUUUGACUUCAAGGUUAGGAUCUUCAGCCAGCUGCAAAAGCACAUCCACCAUAUCUUUAGCAACAUAAUCCUUAGCAUUUUUCCUUUUCUCAAUGUGUUCCUCCAACACAUGUUCCAUAAACCAAUCAAAUUUUUUACCCAAAGCCUUCAUCCUCUUCACAUAACCUUGAAAAUCCAGGAAAUUAAUCCAAGGAAUAAAAUCCCCAAUAUUAAGGACCCCGUUAAGCAUAAACAACUCCUCCAACAUCUUCUUAAACUCAUCCGGAGAAAUAAAAGCAUUUUCUGUCUUUUCCAAAUAAUUUUUCCCCAACACCAUGCGACUUAUAAUAUUUAGAUUCAAAUUUAAAAGAUGGUCUUUCAACAAAAUUGUUUUAUUUUUUGAGUUAUAGAGUUCGUGCAAAAAAGCAUGUAACUCUUGGUUUCUUAUGAACUCAUAAGAUUGAAGGCGUCUCGCACUAAACAAUUCUAAUAGACAUAUUCUACGGGCCUGACGCCAAUAUGGACCAUAUUGGGACCAAGUCAUGUCAGAGUAGUUAUAAGUUGUGUAUUUACCAGCCGAGAAUUUGGGCCGGCCGGCAAGAGUGGCAUCGUGAGUUUUAAGGAACUCUUUUGCUAUUUUUGCAGACGAGCCCACAAUGACGGGUUUGGAGCCGAGCCAUAUAUGCAUGAUGGGUCCAUAUUUUUGGGUGAGCCCAUGGAAGGAUUGGUGAGGGAGAGAUCCCAUAAGGUUGAGAUUUCCUAUUAUGGGCCAUGGUUUUGGGCCUGGUGGUAGGUUGUAUUUGCGGCGGCGGAGACGGCUGCUGAAGAGGAGGAGAAUAGCAAAUGUUGUCAACAAUGUGACCCAACUAGGNNNNNNNNNNNNNNNNNNNNNNNNNNNNNNNNNNNNNNNNNNNNNNNNNNNNNNNNNNNNNNNNNNNNNNNNNNNNNNNUACUGGAGCCAUUGCUGGAUUUUGUGACUUUGUUUUGGUGAUUGUGAGGAGUUGAUGAGAGGUUAAAGAGUGAGUGGGUUAUUUAUUUAUAAUCAUAAUAAUCAUAGCAUAGGAUUAGGAUUAAGCAAUUCUUUAUUCCAUAGACCCCAUGUACGUGGAACAUGUUUCUUGUAGUCUUGUAUCGAUUUGGAUUAAUUUAUUCGUGAUCUCAUUGGCAUGUGUGAGACUGUAUGGUGGAGUAUUAUUUUAUCACUCACAUAAGCGUGAAACAAGGAUUUUUAAUAUUUCAUGGUAGCAUAAAGAUAUAUUUGUUUCUUGAUCUAAAUAAAAAAAUAAUUUGUUUCAACUUGUUUCAAAAAAGUCACCGAUGAAUUUAAAUCAUUUAGAUUGUUUUCUAAAAAAAUAAUCAUUUAGUUUUCUCUGGCAUGUGUAAUAAUCUUUUAGAAUGUUUUCGACGCAUCUAAAGUGAUCUUUUCUGAAUUGUAAGGGUUGAGUACUCCUUAUAUUCCUUAUAAUUCAUUAUUUGCUUAUAAAAAAUGAUGAAUUUAAAUUGUAUAAGUUUAAAUAUUAAAUAAUUUCUGAAAAUCAUAGUCUUUAAACUCCUCCUCCAAAUGCGUUUGAUUCAUAAAACAGCAAGAACAGGACAAAACAACACAAGAUAGAACAAGAUAAUACAGGACAAGACAAAACUGUACCGGAGAGAUAUAGGGCGAUAAUUUUUUUAUAUUCGAAAAUAAAAUGAGUAUUUUUGUAUUUUUUAUGGUUCUAGUGUGAACAAAAAGUUGUCAUGUGGUUUAGUGAGGGACAAAAAAAUCUUGUUUCUGUGUUGUCAUUUGCUACCUAAUUUGUUCAGUCUCAUAAUCAGUUUAAAAUUAAACAAAAUACAACAAAAAUUAUCCAGUCCAGUUUACUAUUUUUUAGCAGAUCAAACUCAUCUGACAAAAAAUCAAGAGAGAACAUAACAUAACUUAACUUGGCAUUACAAAUGCUACUACAACCGGUAGACAGAGCUUACAAAGGGAUACACUACUACACUCAUUAUUAAACUCCAACAUUCCAACAUCAUUUUUUUCUUCUUCAUUAUGAUGCUUACAAUUUCUUUCUCUAGUAUGAUGAGAGAUAAUUAAACUCACACAACAAAUCCAAUUAUUGCCAAAUCUUAUUACAAAACUUAAGUAGAGAAAAAUACUCAAAGUGAGUAAAGAUGAUCAGCAAGUCUAGGCUCCGAAACAACUUCUAAUGGUAUUUUCUUAGGUGUAGAGAGCCCAAAAAUCUCCUCCAUAUUCAAAUCCUCAUUUUUCACAUUAUCACUUAAUCUCCAAUUAAAUCCAUGCAACAAGUUAGCCAAACUUGAUUGAAUCACCUUAAUACCAAGAGGGUAACCCGGACACAUUCUUCUACCAGCGCCAAAUGGUAAUAACUCGUAAUCGUGUCCUUUUACAUCUAUAUUUUUACCAAGAAACCUCUCCGGCAUAAAUUCAUAUGGAUUUUCCCAAAUAUUGGGAUCUCUUCCAAUUGUCCAAGUAUUGACAAGAAUUUGAGUUCCUUUCGGGAUAUCGUAACCAUCAACAUGACAAUCUUCUCUCGCUUGUCGUGGGACUAACAUUGGUGCCACUGGAUGUAGCCUCAUUGUUUCUUUAGCAAUUGCAUAUACAUAAGGUAAAUUCACAAUGUCUUUCUCUUCAACCCAUCUAUCUUUUCCUAUUACUCUGUCU